GACGAACGCUGGCGGCGUGCCUCAGACAUGCAAGUCGAACGAUUAAAGCUCUCUUCGGAGAGUGCAUAGAGUGGCGCACGGGUGAGUAACACGUAAGUAAUCUACCCUCGAGUGGGGAAUAACGUCCGGAAACGGACGCUAAUACCGCAUAAUGCAGCGGCACCGCAAGGUGACAGUUGUUAAAGAUUUAUCGCUUGAGGAGGAGCUUGCGGCAGAUUAGCAGUUGGUAAGGUAAUGGCUUACCAAGGCUACGAUCUGUAACCGGUCUAAGAGGACGGUCGGUCACACUGACACUGAAUAACGGGUCAGACUCCUACGGGAGGCAGCAGUCGGGAAUUUUGGGCAAUGGGCGAAAGCCUGACCCAGCAACGCCGCGUGAAGGAUGAAGUAUUUCGGUAUGUAAACUUCGAAAGAAUGGGAAGAAUCAAUGACGGUACCAUUUAUAAGGUCC
RNAcentral lists this ribosomal RNA (451 nucleotides) under uncultured bacterium. RNAcentral's name for it is "bacterial SSU rRNA". It matches the Rfam family "Bacterial small subunit ribosomal RNA", at positions 28 to 494 of the family's 1533-position model. The record is from RNAcentral.